This is a long non-coding RNA of Gossypium raimondii (Peruvian cotton), 5215 nucleotides long. RefSeq lists it as uncharacterized. The transcript has 4 exons. The record is from RefSeq and is a predicted model, not a curated record. Lineage: Eukaryota; Viridiplantae; Streptophyta; Magnoliopsida; Malvales; Malvaceae.
CUGGCAUCCAUUUCUUUCGUAUAGUCAAAUCAUUAUCCAACCUUCUGACGAUAGCAAUUCCCCAAAAAAGAUAUUAAACUUUUGCUAUCUGUUUUUAAAACAUUUCUUCCAUACUCUCCUUCAAUCCGAGUUUCUUGAUUUUCUCCUUUUUCAAGCAAGAACAUACCGAUCCAGAUCUGCUCCCACCAGGUAAACAUUUUCCUCUCUGCCAAGGGCUUUUUUUUGCCAACUUGUGUGCAUUUGAGUUUUUUGAUCUAUGAAUGUGUUGAAAAUUUAGUUCUUGAAAACACGAUUUCUUGUUGUGGAUAUCGCUGAUAAUAGCCCCAAUCACUGAUUUAUCUAUUAAAUUUUUUUGACAUUUUUUGAUCACUGUUCUGGAGUCCCCCAUGAUUUUGAUUGAUGGCAUUCGUAGAGAGAUUCCUUACUUAAUACUUUCCAAACAUGCAUACGCCUCUGCUGCAAACGAGGAAGAGACCUUCUUAUGAAUCAUCGUAUUAAGCACCAGCAAAUCCCCGUUUUUGUCCCACCCUACCAGUCCUGUUGCUGACUUGAAGCUUCUUCUGUCGAAUGCUGCGUCAAAUUGGAUCGCUGCUUUUGACCCAAAUCGACCAUAAAGCAUAACAAAAAAGUCGACACUGAGCAUCAUUUCCUUUCUUAAAAACCCAGGGCACUCUCGGAACACAUGGAGACUUUUUUCAGGCCAGGAUCAACAUCGGGGGCAUUCCUCAUUAGUAAUAACUUUCCUGCAUCUGAGAUUAACAAAAUUGGGAAUAUAAUCCCAGGAGAUUCUCCAAAUAGUCAUUGUAAUUUUUGGGGGAAUCUGUAAUCCCCAUAAUUUCCUGUAAAAUUCCUUAGUUUCGGUCUGUAAUAAAUAAUCAGUAGGAUUAAGAGUAGCCUCUUGUAAUAGUUUAUAGGCGCUACGUACAGAAAAUUCACCGGAUAAUUCUCCCUUCCAUACUUGGAUGUCUUCGUGGUCUGUCUCAGCUAACGGCAUCUGUAAAAUUUUCUGAGCUGUUUCACCCUGAAAGAGAUAUUGUCUCCCCUGCCCACUCUCCAGCACAAUCCUUUUUGGAGUAGACCUUUUGCUGCCCAAAUGCUCCGCCAGGUGAGUGAAGGUAAAUUCCCCAACUCUGCCUUAAGAAAACAUGAACGUGGAUAGUAUUUAGCUUUUAUAACUCUGGCUAAUAAAGAAUUUGGAUUAUUAAUAAGUCGCCAUCCUUGUUUUUCCAGUAACGAAACAUUAAAUUGAGCAAGAUUUCUUAAACCUAAUCCACCGUUUUCUUCUAAGGAACAAAUAUUUUUCCAAGUGCACCAAUGGAAUCCCCUUUUCCCAUGUCCUUUCUGCCACUAGAACUUGGCUAUGAUACCCUCCAUAUCGUCACAUGGUGCUUUAGGUAAUAAAAAACAUGCCAUUGUAUAAGUCGGAAUAGCCUGAAGAGCAGCCUUUAUGAAUACGUAUUUCCCUCCCUGCGAUAAUAACCUAAUGCUCCAAUUAUCGAUACAUUUUUUGAGUUUGACUUUCAAAUUCUGAAAAGAUUCUUUUUUCUUCCAACCACCAUUAUAGGCAAUCCUAAAUAAUGUUCUGGUUUAUUAGAGCUUCGUACCCCCAAAAGAUUGACAACUUGUCUCUUAUCCUCCUCCAUCGUAUUCUUAUUGAAAAAAACAGUUGAUUUUUCAAAAUUUACACACUGUCCUGAACAUGACUUGUAUCCGCAUGGAAUGUCCUUGAAAAGGUUGGCUCCUCUACUUGUUGCUUCUCCAAACAAAAUGCAAUCGUCAGCAAAAAAUAAAUGGGAUAUCUGCGGACCAUUUCUACUGAUCCUUACUCCUUUUAGAAAACCCUUGGUUGUUGCUAGUCUCAGCAGGCUUGACAACCCUUCUCCACAUAAGAGGAACAAAAAUGGGCUAAGUGGAUCCCUUUGCCUAAGACCUCUAGCUGGGCAGAAUUUUUCUCCAAUAUGUCCAUUGAUAAUUACUGAAUAAGAAACUGAAGUAACACAAUGCAUAAUAGUAUUUACCCAACUUUGAUCAAACCCCAUCUGUAACAUUAUCCUAUUUAAGAAGUCUCACUCCACUCUGUCAUAUGCUUUACUCAUAUCAAGUUUAACAGCCAUGUACCAUUUUUUCCCCAAUCUAUUCUGUUUCAACUUGUGCAAUAUUUCAUAGGCUAAUAGCACAUUAUCUGAAAUUAGCCGACCUGGCAUAAAGGAACUUUGCGCCUCAUCAACACAUUUUCCAAUAACUUCACUCAAUCGAUUUACAAUAGCUUUUGCAAUGAUUUUAUAAAGAACAUUACAUAGGCUAAUUGGCCUGAAUUGCGACAUAUUAGAUGGAAUAGGAAUUUUUGGGAUAAGUACUAUAUUUGUAGAAUUAAUUGAACUUACCUCUCUACUGCCGUUUAAUAUCUGUAAGCAAAAAGUGGUAACAUUAUCUCCGACUAUUUGCCAACAUUUCUGAUAAAAGAGGGCUGGGAAACCAUCUUCUCCUAGUGCCUUUGUUGGUCCCAUGGUAAAAACUGCUUCCAUAAUUUCCUCUUUGGUAUAUACUGCUGUCAACUUUCGAUUGUCUUCAUCAUGAAUACACCAUUCAAUCCCUUCUAAUAUGCGAUCAUACUCCCCCUUCAUUCUGUUGAAAACAACUUCUUGAAGUAACACUGUGCUAUACCUUCCAUGUCUUGCAAGUUCCCCAUCUCUCUUCCAUCUUCAUUUUUUAGCUUCCGAAUAAGGUUCUUGCUCCUUCUCUAUAACGUUAUGCCAAUCGAUUCGGGCCCUUUGUUCCCAGUAGCAUUCUUCUUUUUCAAGCUCGAAAUUUAAAUUGAUUUUCGUAUCAAUCAGUUCCUCCAAAGUCUUAUUGUCUCUUUCUUCCUCAGCCAACUCCGUUAGUUUCCUUAUGAGAACCUGUUUUGUCUUCUUUCUUUCAUUUUGGAUUUGCUCAGCCCACCUUUGUAAUCCUUUUUUCAAAAAAUUCAAUUUCUGUACCAGCUCUCCUGAUGCGUUCUCCCACAAACUCUUAACUUCAUUAUCAAAAGACUCUUCCAAUGACCACCAAGCUUUAAAUUUAAAAUUGUAACUCCUUUCUUCAUGCCUCCUUGUGUUAAUAAGAAGUGGACAAUGAUCUAAAAACGAGUGCGCUAAAUGUUGAACUCUUACCUCUUGAAACAUAUUAAUCCAUUCCAUGUUUGCAACUCCUCUAUCUAAUCUUUCUUGUAUGUUGGUCUCCGGUAAGUUUCCUCUUUCCCAAGUAAACCAGCUGCCUUCAUAGCCCACAUCGUACAAUUGACAUUCCUUGAGUAUUCUUCGAAACAAUUCCAUUCUCCUCUCAUCUCUAGGUAGUCCUCCUUUCUUUUCGGAUCCAUACAUAAUUUCAUUGAAAUCACCAACAACAAACCAUGGGAAAUCCUUAUUAGUAGUCAGGCUUUUCAAAACAACCCAUGAUUCAUUCUGAUCCUGUAUAUAAGGGGAUCCAUAGAAACCUGUAAAUCUCCACUUGCAUCAUUUUUCAUUAUCGUCAACAAAUACAUCAAUGUGUCUUUUAGAGAAACUGCUCAGCGUUAUAUCAACCUCAUUCCUCCAUGUUAAACACAAUACUCCUCUCAUACCUUCUGGAUCAACUUCAAUACCGUUCGUAUAACCACAUCUUCUACGAACUCGUUCCAUCUGCUGUCUUCCUAGUUUUGUAUCCAUAAAGAAGACCAUUUGGGGAUUAUGUAACUUCAGCAUCUGCCGAAGUCUUUUAACCGUCUGUAGUCUCCCCAAACCACGGACGUUCCAGCUUAUUAUUUUCAUUGUGUCCGGUCGGCUUGCCUCUUGGCAACCGCCGAUGAUAAAAGGUUGAAUUCCACCUUUUUCCUAUUUAUUAUACUUGUAUUAUCCCUUUCUGCAUUGUUGAAAAGAUCUUCCAUCUCCCCCCUGUUUCGUUUUUCCUUCCUCCCCUACUAAGGUAUCAUUUUCUAAAUCAUGUUCCAUUGCCAUAUUUAUCAGACUCGAACCAAAUUUGCUCUCUCGCUAUUCUACAGACGGCACCCCUCCUUCAAUACUAAACCCCAGAAUUGGGUCAAUAAUCUUUCCCCCUCGUUCUUUUGAACUUCCAUCCCUUUGUCUUGAUUCUCCAGAUCGAUUCUCCCCCCAUCUUCCCUUCCUUUUCCUUCUUCCUCUUCUCGUAGCCAUAUACUAUUCAUUGAAAGAGCUCUUCGAGAUUGCGCUCGCAAUGAUAAAUCCCAGCCCAAUUCUUCUGUAUCUGCCCUUGUCAUCAUUUUUAUCUCACAGAAUGAAUCAUUAUACCCUAAUCUUCCGCAGUAGAAACAAAAAAGCGAUAACCGUUCAUACUUAAACUUGACAUAUGACCUAACCACAUUGCACAAAUCCUGCUUCUUCCUUUUCAGAGGCUUCUUAACAUCAAUCAGUACUCUUACCCUCAUAUAAUUACAAUUUUCCUUUCCUAGAUUUGAAGUAUCAUAUUCUAGGAAAACACCUAAAAAAUUACCCAGUUGGAUUGCUAGCUUUUUAGAGAAUAAUCCAAUUGGGACAUCAUGGAUUUGAACCUAGAAAGGAGUAAAUAGUAGCGGCACUUUUAGUGGAUCUUCGCCUCUCCCCAACUUAUUCAAUAAUAGCAAGUGGUUAUUAAAAGUCCAUGGUAGACCUUUUAGAACCCUUUCCAUAUCAAUAUUAUGAUCAUAAUUGGAACAAAUACCUUUUUUCACCCAGAUCUCUAAUUUGGACCCCAUAAACAGGGUGCCACAGAUUUGCCAUAGUGCUUUUCAUGCUGGAAAAUGAAUAACACUUGCUGUUAAGAAACAUCCCACAAGCUGGAACUCCCCCACUCCACUUUGAUUACCCGGAUCUGCCUGAAUCUGCAAUAUUUCUUCUUCUUUCUCAUUAAUCGAUAAUUGUGCUAAUUCAUUCUCCAUGGCUACAGGUUGAUUACCAGAAUAACACAAACACCCCUUUUUCAGAUUUCAGGAAAAAAGAUCAGAAGCGAAGAAGGCAAUUGGUAAAACAUAACACAAACGAUUAAAGAAAAACAAAAACGUGCCAGCGGUGGCAGACCUAAGCGUGCUAGGGAAGCAGACUCUUUAUUUAUUUUUAUUAAAAUAAUUAUAUUUAUUCUAUUUCAAAUUAGAAAUUUUAUCACAUAAGAAUGUGUAAAAAUUACACAUUUAAAACACAAUUGAUGGACAUAAUAAAAUGUGCAUAAAAGCAAUCAAAAUAAAACUUUG